UGGGGAAUAUUGCACAAUGGGGGAAACCCUGAUGCAGCAACGCCGCGUGAGCGAAGAAGUAUUUCGGUAUGUAAAGCUCUAUCAGCAGGGAAGAAGAAAGACGGUACCUGACUAAGAAGCCCCGGCUAACUACGUGCCAGCAGCCGCGGUAAUACGUAGGGGGCAAGCGUUAUCCGGAUUUACUGGGUGUAAAGGGAGCGUAGGCGGUCUGCCAAGUCAGAAGUGAAAGCCCGGGGCUCAACUCCGGGACUGCUUUUGAAACUGACGGACUAGAUUGCAGGAGGGGUGAGCGGAAUUCCUAGUGUAGCGGUGAAAUGCGUAGAUAUUAGGAGGAACACCAGUGGCGAAGGCGGCUCACUGGACUGCAAAUGACGCUGAGGCUCGAAAGCGUGGGGAGCAAACAG
This 404-nucleotide ribosomal RNA is filed under the name uncultured bacterium. RNAcentral describes it as "bacterial SSU rRNA". It matches the Rfam family "Bacterial small subunit ribosomal RNA", at positions 355 to 775 of the family's 1533-position model. The record is from RNAcentral.